UGCGUAGGCGGCUUUUUAAGUCGGAUGUGAAAUCCCUCGGCUCAACCGGGGAACUGCGUUUGAUACUGUCGAGCUAGAGUCCUGGAGAGGGUGGCGGAAUUCCUGGUGUAGGAGUGAAAUCCGUAGAUAUCAGGAGGAACACCGGUGGCGAAGGCGGCCACCUGGACAGGUACUGACGCUGAGGUACGAAAGCGUGGGGAGCAAACAGGAUUAGAUACCCGUGUA
Molecule: ribosomal RNA, 225 nt
Filed under: uncultured Desulfovibrio sp.
Lineage: Bacteria; Pseudomonadati; Thermodesulfobacteriota; Desulfovibrionia; Desulfovibrionales; Desulfovibrionaceae
Description: partial 16S ribosomal RNA
Rfam family: Bacterial small subunit ribosomal RNA
Source: RNAcentral